RNAcentral lists this ribosomal RNA (402 nucleotides) under uncultured bacterium. RNAcentral's name for it is "bacterial SSU rRNA". It matches the Rfam family "Bacterial small subunit ribosomal RNA", at positions 28 to 430 of the family's 1533-position model. The record is from RNAcentral.
GACGAACGCUGGCGGCGUGCUUAACACAUGCAAGUCGAACGGAAAGGCCCUGCUUUUGUGGGGUGCUCGAGUGGCGAACGGGUGAGUAACACGUGAGUAACCUGCCCUUGACUUUGGGAUAACUUCAGGAAACUGGGGCUAAUACCGGAUAGGAGCUCCUGCUGCAUGGUGGGGGUUGGAAAGUUUCGGCGGUUGGGGAUGGACUCGCGGCUUAUCAGCUUGUUGGUGGGGUAGUGGCUUACCAAGGCUUUGACGGGUAGCCGGCCUGAGAGGGUGACCGGCCACAUUGGGACUGAGAUACGGCCCAGACUCCUACGGGAGGCAGCAGUGGGGAAUAUUGCACAAUGGGCGGAAGCCUGAUGCAGCAACGCCGCGUGCGGGAUGACGGCCUCGGUUGUAACG